CUUAUCAAUGAAGCAGACCAUGAGUUCUCAUUGUAUAAUAAUGGUGUGGGGAUGCCGGUUACAACUGUGGACUCCUUGGCUCCAUCUCAUCUGCU
This 95-nucleotide microRNA precursor is filed under the name Otolemur garnettii (small-eared galago). RNAcentral's name for it is "miRNA (ENSOGAG00000034302.1)". The record is from RNAcentral. Lineage: Eukaryota; Metazoa; Chordata; Mammalia; Primates; Galagidae.